AAAUGGCAUUUAGUUAAAAAUUUGACAUUCCCGUAGUUCGUGUUUGUUUUUCGCGACCAUAUUUCCUUAAAUUUUGCGUCGAGAAAGCGCUUCAAGUGCUCGGAAAUGAUUGCAAAGGGCAGAUGAACCAUGUUGCAGUGAUUUCAAAUUGAAUUACCUUCGUUUUUUUGCGAAUACGGUGCAAAACUUUGUGUAAUUGUGCAUAGUUGGCGUGACAUACUAAGUCUCCGAAAAUCGACUUGUGCAAAGAGCAGUGAGAAAUACCCUGAUUUCAGAAUGAGUGAAUCUACAAUUUUAGGAGAUGCCCACAAUUCAUCAGCGAAACCCAUUUAUGCCGUUCAUGUAACAGCAGUUCCGCAAGUGGCUUCGGCGAUAGACCCAUUGAGUCAUGUUGGCGAUGGCAUAUUUCUACAAACGAAAACAGCACAGGGUUUGGCAGGUGCUUUCGUCUGGGUAGCUUUAUUCCUCACAUGUCAACAGAUCUAUCAACAUUUGCGAUGGUACACAAACCCCCAAGAGCAGCGAUGGAUAGUUAGAAUACUCUUUAUUGUACCAAUUUAUGCAACAUAUUCUUGGAUCAGUUUACUAUUUUUUAAUUCUGAAAGCGUCUAUGUGUAUUUUUUCACAGUAAGGGAUUGCUAUGAAGCCUUUGUAAUAUACAAUUUUUUAUCUCUCUGUUAUGAAUAUUUGGGUGGUGAGGGGAACAUCAUGUCCGAAAUAAGAGGGAAGCCGAUUAAGUCCUCUUGUUUGUACGGCACUUGCUGUUUGACAGGGAAAACAUACACAAUCGGAUUCUUGCGAUUCUGUAAACAAGCGACUUUGCAAUUCUGCUUGGUCAAGCCGUUAAUGGCGUUCAUCAUUAUAUUCUUACAAGCAUUUGGCCACUACCACGACGGUGACUGGAGCGCUGAUGGUGGAUACAUUUAUAUAACGAUUAUCUACAAUAUUUCGGUUUCGUUGGCUUUAUAUGGUUUAUACUUAUUUUAUUUUGCAACGAAAGACUUAUUGACACCAUUCGAACCUGUUCUGAAAUUCUGCACCAUCAAAUCCGUUAUCUUUUUAUCGUUUUGGCAAGGAGUUGGGCUAGCCAUUCUUGAAAAAGCGAAGGUUAUAUCUCCUAUCAUCGACAGUGACGGGGCUCAAACAUCAGCUGGUACAGUGUCAGCAGGAUAUCAAAACUUUUUCAUUUGUAUUGAAAUGUUGUUUGCCGCUAUUGCUCUCAGAUACGCAUUCCCCUACCAGGUUUAUUCUCGUAGCUGCAUUGGUGAUGCGCAUGGACGCUCUGUUACAAUGCAAUCAAUAUCAAGCAGCCUAAAGGAAACAAUGAAUCCAAAAGACAUCAUGACUGAUGCUAUACAUAACUUCCACCCACAAUAUCAACAGUACACUCAGUAUAGCUCAGGGAAGAAUUCACGAGGAAUACGAGUUUCGUCUUACGACCCAGAUGACCCAGCAUCACAAUCUGUAGCAACAGGGAAAAUAGUUGCUCCGAAAACCCUAGGGAAUCAGAGGAAAUUCACACCUGGUCAACGAGUUGCAACAAUAAGUCAAAAUUACAAUGAAAAAACGAUGCUACUUAGUAGUGACGAUGAGUACCAGUAAAAUGUGUCACCUUAAUUCCGGCCGAGCAGCUAGCAAGGGGUCAUUAAAGAGAAGAUAUGUAUAUGUGUCAAACAGUAUGAACCGCAGAGUAUAAAAACAAAUCCUUCCGUCGCGAGAAAGCUUUGUAAUACUUAAAACAUUUAAUAAUGGGAAGGGUCGAGGGUUAUACUAAUCGUAGUUAAUAAAUUUUAAAAAUAAUGUACUUAAGUCGCAAGAUUACGACUUCACUAUUUAUUUUUCUAAAUUAAUCUUCAGAAGAAAUCACAUACAUAUAUUAUUGUUAACCCUGAUAAUUUAUUGUUUUAAUUAUUUAUUAAAUUUAGUUUAGAUUAAUUCACCUGUCAUAGUUCCAUUCAAGAUUUGUACAAGAUCACGAGACUAUAGCUCUCAUACAUGUAUUAAUUGUUUCUUGCUUUUGCGGAAGAACAUUUUUAAAUUGUUAGAGGAAGAUACUGGACAGUAAUGAAUUCAAUAUUAAAUGACUGUAUUAUUAAA
Molecule: unclassified non-coding RNA, 2097 nt
Filed under: Hermetia illucens (black soldier fly)
Lineage: Eukaryota; Metazoa; Arthropoda; Insecta; Diptera; Stratiomyidae
Description: transmembrane protein 184B, transcript variant X1
Source: RNAcentral